Molecule: ribosomal RNA, 457 nt
Filed under: uncultured bacterium
Lineage: Bacteria
Description: bacterial SSU rRNA
Rfam family: Bacterial small subunit ribosomal RNA
Source: RNAcentral
GGUAGAACGCUGGCGGCGUGCCUAACACAUGCAAGUCGAGCGGUGCAGUUUGAAGCUUCGGUGGAAAGCUGCAUAGCGGCGGACGGGUGAGGAAAACGUAGGAACGUGCCCCUUGGAGUUGGAUAGCCACGGGAAACUGUAGGGUAAACCGACAUAGACUCGAGAGAGUAAAGGCCGAAAGGCGCCAAGGGAGCGGCCUGCGGCCCAUCAGGUAGUUGGUAGUGUAAAGGACUACCAAGCCGACGACGGGUAGCCGGUCUGAGAGGAUGGCCGGCCACAAGGGCACUGAGAGACGGGCCCUACUCCUACGGGAGGCAGCAGUGGGGGAUUUUGGACAAUGGGCGAAAGCCUGACCCAGCGACGCCGCGUGGAGGACGAAGCCCUUCGGGGUGUAAACUCCUUUUCUCAGGGAAAAAGGAUGAUGGUACCUGAGGAAUAAGCCCCGGCUAACUACGUG